This 520-nucleotide ribosomal RNA is filed under the name uncultured bacterium. Its description in RNAcentral is "bacterial SSU rRNA". It matches the Rfam family "Archaeal small subunit ribosomal RNA", at positions 345 to 866 of the family's 1478-position model. The record is from RNAcentral.
AACCUCCGCAAUGUGAGAAAUCGCGACGGGGGGAUCCCAAGUGUCAUUCUUAACGGGAUGGCUUUUCAUUAGUGUAAAGAGCUUUUGGAAUAAGAGCUGGGCAAGACCGGUGCCAGCCGCCGCGGUAACACCGGCAGCUCUAGUGGUAACAAUUUUUAUUGGGCCUAAAGCGUCCGUAGCCGGUUUAAUAAGUCUCUGGUGAAAUCCUGUAGCUUAACUGUGGGAAUUGCUGGAGAUACUAUUAGACUUGAGACCGGGAGAGGUUAGAGGUACUCCCAGGGUAGAGGUGAAAUUCUGUAAUCCUGGGAGGACCGCCUGUUGCGAAGGCGUCUAACUGGAACGGUUCUGACGGUGAGGGACGAAAGUUAGGGGCGCGAACCGGAUUAGAUACCCGGGUAGUCCUAACUGUAACGAUGCGGACUUGGUGUUGGGGUGGCUUUGAGCUGCUCCAGUGCCGAAGGGAAGCUGUUAAGUCCGCCGCCUGGGAAGUACGGUCGCAAGACUGAAACUUAAAGGAAUU